CAGUAGCCGCGGUAACACGGAGGGUGCAAGCGUUACUCGGAAUCACUGGGCGUAAAGGACGCGUAGGCGGAUUAUCAAGUCUCUUGUGAAAUCUAACGGCUUAACCGUUAAACUGCUUGGGAAACUGAUAAUCUAGAGUAAGGGAGAGGCAGAUGGAAUUCUUGGUGUAGGGGUAAAAUCCGUAGAUAUCAAGAAGAAUACCUAUUGCGAAGGCGAUCUGCUGGAACUUAACUGACGCUAAUGCGUGAAAGCGUGGGGAGCAAACAGGAUUAGAUACCCGGGUAGUCCCUGUCUCUUAUAC
RNAcentral lists this ribosomal RNA (301 nucleotides) under uncultured bacterium. RNAcentral's name for it is "partial 16S ribosomal RNA". It matches the Rfam family "Bacterial small subunit ribosomal RNA", at positions 509 to 807 of the family's 1533-position model. The record is from RNAcentral.